UAAAAAAUAAAUGUUUCAUUUUGAGAGAGAUAUACUGCUUCCCAUAUGCAUUGAAAGAAGAAAGUAUUUCAGUUCAGGACUCAGGUGGAAAGUGUAAAGAUCAGGUUUCAUAACGUGGUACCAGCAAGAAUGAAAGAAGUCAUUCCUUAUGUAUUAGUAGAAAAGGGUUACAGGCCUUUGACUAUAAAUGAUUUUUCAUUACAUUUAAGGCUGCACUUAAGUCUAUUUUCAUCUGACCAACCUAAUUAGGAGAAAGUAGACCAAUGACUGUAAAGGCAAUGCUAGAUUUGUUAAGUGAAAUUCUCUUACUAUUUCUGAACUACAACAUCUUAUUGAAAUAUUUCAUUGUCUAGUGCCUUAUAAUUAAAAACUUCCAUCAGAUAAUUCAUUUCACAUUCUUCUAAGAGCUUGACAAAAUGGUUUCUUUCCCUCUGACACAAUUCAGAGAUGAGUACCACUAAACCCUGGAUACAUGAAAAAGUUAUUUUGUUCUUUCAUAAAUCUAAAGUUGUCACACUAUUUUCUAGCUUGGGAAUAUAAUUUUGCACAGAAUUUCUUUCCUCUCUUUCCUUCUAAUUUACCUCUUCAAUAUAUAGCUAUCUCCAAAAUUUUAUUUUACUCAUGUUCAUUUUUUGUUAUUUUCAAUUGUUUUACUUAAAUGUUAUAGAAGACAAAGCCUUCCUUACUUUAAUUAUAUUAUCAUUCUGGUUAUUAUUGUUGUAGGCCACAUUAAUUUGUGUAGGUUAUUGGCCAGAGAAGUGGGUAAAUAGUGAAACACAAGACUUGUCACAAGGUAGGAAUUAGAUAUUUGUAAAAUUAAUCCAUUACUUGAUUUCACCUAGUAUUUUUAUAGAUACACCAAGUUUACAUUUCCUGAGACAAGGUCUGUCAAAUAUAUGUUCUGUUUAUGGAGAAGAAUUAAUAGUGAAGAAAUUAGGAUUGUGGAAUAUGGAGUCAGACUAUUUGUCAUUCUAAUUUCUUCUCUUAACAGCUGUAUGAAAUUGAACAACUCACUUCAUUUUGCCUCAAAAUCCUCAAAAGUGAGAAUGAUGAUAAUAACAGGACUUUUGUCCAUAGGCACACUGUGAUGUUAAAAUAAAGCCAACAAUUCUCAGUGAAAUGGAAUAGGAUAUGAACUUUCCCAUCAUCUACAAAUCAAGAUAGUGACUGUCUACAAAUCAAGACCAAAGAAAUGCUUCUAAAAAGCUUUUGAGGCAAUAAAAGCUCUUCAUAUUGACA
Molecule: long non-coding RNA, 1239 nt
Organism: Felis catus (domestic cat)
Lineage: Eukaryota; Metazoa; Chordata; Mammalia; Carnivora; Felidae
Exons: 2
Source: RefSeq, a predicted model, not a curated record